UGAAUGCACUAAAUGUAAGUUGCUCUGGAUAAGAGUGUCUGCUAAAUGACUAAAA
Salmo salar (Atlantic salmon) is the source of this 55-nucleotide non-coding RNA. NCBI's taxonomy places the organism in Eukaryota, Metazoa, Chordata, Actinopteri, Salmoniformes, Salmonidae. The record is from Rfam.